RNAcentral lists this ribosomal RNA (1237 nucleotides) under metagenome. Its description in RNAcentral is "bacterial SSU rRNA". It matches the Rfam family "Archaeal small subunit ribosomal RNA", at positions 200 to 1445 of the family's 1478-position model. The record is from RNAcentral.
UGCUUAAGGAUAGGUCGGCGGCGGAUUAGGUUGUUGGUGGGGUAAUGGCCCACCAAGCCGAAGAUCCGUAGGGGCCUUGAGAGAGGUAGCCCCGAGAAGGACACUGCGAAACUGGUCCUAGCCCUACGGGGUGCAGCAGGCGCGAAAACUUUACAAUGCACGCAAGUGUGAUAAGGGUAUCCUAAGUGCUCAACUUUGUUGGGCUUUUGCCAAGAGUAAAUACCUUGGCGAAUAAAUGGUGGGUAAGACGGGUGCCAGCCGCCGCGGUAACACCCGCGCCAUGAGUGGCAAUCAUAUAUUGGGCCUAAAGCGUUCGUAGCCGGUCUAGUAAAUCUUCUGUGAAAUUGUUGCGCUUAACGUAACAACGUGCAGGAGACACUGCAAGACUUGAAACCGGGAGGAGUCAGAAGUAUUCUGAGGGGAGCGGUAAAAUGCUAUAAUCCUUGGAAGACUACCUGUGGCGAAGGCGUCUGACUAGAACGGAUUUGACGGUGAGGAACGAAAGCCAGGGGAGCGAUCCGGAUUAGAUACCCGAGUAGUCCUGGCCGUAAACGCUGCGAGCAAGGUGUUGCGUAUUCUUGUGAAUGCGCAGUAUCGAAGAGAAGUCGUUAAGCUCGCCGCCUGGGAAGUAUGGUCGCAAGACUGAAACUUAAAGGAAUUGGCGGGGGAGCACCACAAGGGGUGCGGCGUGCGGUUUAAUUUAAUUCAACGCAGAAAAUCUCACCAGGGGCGCCGGCAGUAUGAAGGUCAGUCUAAAGGGCUUACCUGACGAGCCGAGAGGAGGUGCAUGGCCGUCGUCAGCUCGUGCCGUAAGGUGUCCAGUUAAGUCUGGUAACGAGCGAGACCUGUACUUACAAUUGCUAACGAGUUCCACGGAAUGAUCGAGCACAUUGUCAGGACUGCCUCGGAAACGAGGAGGAAGGUGCAGGCUACGAUAGGUCUGUAUGCCCCGAAUCUCCUGGGCUACACGCGCGCAACAAUGGUAAGGACAAUGGGAUGCAACUCCGAAAGGAGAAGCUAAACCUCUAAACCUUAUCCUAGUCUGAAUCGAGGACUGUAACUCGUCCUCGUGACACUGGAAUCCCUAGUAAUCGUUCUUCAACACGGAACGGUGAAUAUGUCCCUGCUCCUUGCACACACUGCCCGUCAAACCACUCGAGCAGGGUCCAAGUGAGUCUUAACUUCUUGGUUAAGCCGAACUUGGGCUCAGUGAGAUGGGUUAAGUCGUCACAAGGUA